GGAGGUUUAGCUCAGCGGCAUAAGCGCCUGCCUUGUAAGCAGGCAGUCGUGAGUUCGAUCCCCGUUACUGAUA
Transfer RNA from Cavia porcellus (domestic guinea pig), 73 nucleotides. It matches the Rfam family "tRNA". From Rfam's summary of the family: Transfer RNA (tRNA) molecules are approximately 80 nucleotides in length. Their secondary structure includes four short double-helical elements and three loops (D, anti-codon, and T loops). Further hydrogen bonds mediate the characteristic L-shaped molecular structure. tRNAs have two regions of fundamental functional importance: the anti-codon, which is responsible for specific mRNA codon recognition, and the 3' end, to which the tRNAs corresponding amino acid is attached (by aminoacyl-tRNA synthetases). tRNAs cope with the degeneracy of the genetic code in two manners: having more than one tRNA (with a specific anti-codon) for a particular amino acid; and 'wobble' base-pairing, i.e. permitting non-standard base-pairing at the 3rd anti-codon position. NCBI's taxonomy places the organism in Eukaryota, Metazoa, Chordata, Mammalia, Rodentia, Caviidae. The record is from Rfam.